UUACGGCGCGCGCGUCGCGUCAGUCGGUUUUCGUGACGUAAUGCGCGAUGUUCUCGAGCCAACAUUGCGAGUUAGAAGCCUGGGGGGCUUGCGGUGACCUUGUAGUGUUUGUAAACAGACACACGUUGGUACACGUUGUCGUCGGACGAGACAUUAAAAAAAUAAACGACAAAGGUGAUCGGUAGAUUGUCGAGACGAAUAUCUCGUCGAGGAAAGUGCAAUAUCACGUUUGGGAAAAAGAUCGAAAGUGAAGAGAAGAAAGAGAGUCGAGCGAGGAAGGGAGAGAUAUUCGUCCAAGGAACAUGGAAGUGGAGCCGAUGUGUAUAGUCGAAAACGAAACGGAGGGAUCUCGCGGUGAUCGGAAAGAGGGGGGCAAGAGGGGACGCAAGCCCGGAAGGAAGGCGUCCGACAAGGUGGACAUGAAAGCCAAGCUCGAGCGAAGUCGACAGAGUGCGAGGGAGUGCCGUGCUCGAAAAAAGUUGAGAUAUCAGUACCUGGAAGAGCUUGUGGCUGACAGAGAAAAGGCUGUGUUAGCUCUAAGAAAGGAGCUAGAGAUGACCCAACCAACUCGGGAUCCCUUUGGAAUUGAACCGACGCUAGAACGAGCCGUGUAACUGCGAAUCGCUUUCCACUUUCUUGCGUGCCUGUUUAAUUUUGACCACCGGUUAUAUUAUAUUUAUUACAGUAGAGAGAGAGAGACGGAGAGAGAAAGAGAGAUAAACAGAUGAGGAAAAUACAUAGAAAGAGAAAGGGAAGUAGAUAGAGAACUACUAUGAAGCUCGAGGAAACACCCAAGUCCAACGAUAGUCCAUUUCGAAGUCCAAUCCAAUCCCGAUGAAGAUCCUUUAGUAUCGUCAAUGGGGACACGAAUUGGAUCGCGGACGUAUUCCCGAAGGGCUACAUACGGUUUUGGAGGAAUUGGGAAGCCUGAAACGGGAGAAGAGCAACAGCUAAAGCAGGAAAUAAGAAAUUUGGAGGAAUGUUCAGCGAACGUGUCGCGUUCCAUCCACUUUUUUUCGCUCCACCGAUUGUAGCAGCCGAGUUUCUUUCUUUUUUAUACUUAUUAUUUUUCAUUCGACGGAUCUUCGAGGCCAAAGAUGCAGCGUGAUUUUAACUACCGUGCAUUUGCAUCUAAGUCUGUGUGCGUGUCUAUCAUCGGAUUUUAAAUUCGAUUAUUUGACGUUUAGACGAUCACGCCCUCUUUUACAUAUUUUAUUCACUCGAUCUUUUUCUCUUUUUCUUUUUCGUUUUUAACGCGAACGAUUCUUCUUCUUCUUUUUCCCUCUCCCUCGCUCUCUCUUUCCAUCGAAUCGUUCGAGAAGUACGACUCCAAUUCUUUUCUAUCUUCUUCUAUUUUAUUUCUUCUUUUGCUCGGUUACUCCGUUCGUAAUCCCGCGAGAAAAAAACUUGUUCUUUUCUGCUCCCGUCCCCCUGAUCGUUUCUUUUUUCUCGUUUUGUCGUAUGAAGAAAGAGAUGUCAUGUUGGUUGCAGUACCAGCAAGCCCUCGUUGUUUCGUCGCUCGUGUUUCGUGCCGUGCACUCGAAAUUUGUUGCGUUGUUUCUCAUUCGUUAAAGUUUUCUAUCGUUUUCUUUUCUCUUUUGAUCUUUUGAAAUUCUUUAUAAAUCAUUGUUGAAGCGUAACGACGACAACGACCAAGAUACAACGUUGUACGGUCGGUCACGUCGUCGAUGGCCUGACGAAAAGAUAAGGAUAGCAUAAAAAGAGAUAAAGUAUCUCUUUGAUGAUCGUUACAUCGUAAAUUAUUAAAUGGUUCUCUUUUUGUAUAUGUGUGUAGUCUGUUGAACGUCGCGGAAAAGAGAAUGGACGUUGUCGUUGUGUAACAUAGAAAUUCUAUCUAUAGAAAUUUUAAUUCAGUAUUUUGUCUUUUCGGGAAAAAGAUACGACGCGUUAUGGAUAGAUAAACUCGUUGAACCGUGUUGAAGAUUAUUUUCUUCCUUUUUUUCCUCUUUUUUCUAUUUUUUAAUUAUUUACAAAUAUCUUAUAGAUAUUGAAUAUUUCUAGUUCGUUUUUGAGAAAAGAUUAGGCCGCGCCUUUGUACAUGUAUACAAAGUACCUGUCACAGUCUGUAAAACGGUAUUUUUAUAAAGUGAACACAUAUUAUUUUGUACAAAAUAAAUAUUAUUGACAGAGAAGUUCGUUCGUAUAUUCGAAAGAGAUUUAAAGUAUAAAUAAAGUGGAUAUUUUUCAAGAAAA
Molecule: RNA transcript, 2214 nt
Organism: Vespula vulgaris
Lineage: Eukaryota; Metazoa; Arthropoda; Insecta; Hymenoptera; Vespidae
Gene: REPTOR-BP
Gene name: REPTOR-binding partner
Exons: 6
Source: RefSeq, a predicted model, not a curated record